GUGCCAGCAGCCGCGGUAAGACAGAGGUGGCGAGCGUUAUCCGGAUUUACUGGGCGUAAAGGGCGUCUAGGCGGCCGGACAAGUCAUCUGUGAAAGCCCCCGGCUCAACUGGGGGUGGUCAGGUGAACUGCCCGGCUGGGGUGCAGGAGAGGGGAGUGGAACUACCGGAGUAGCGGUGAAAUGCGCAGAUACCGGUAGGUACCCCAACGGCGAAGGCAACUCCCUGGCCUGUCACCGACGCUGAAGCGCGAAAGCGUGGGGAGCGAAAGGGAUUAGAUACCCCUGUAGUCCACGCCUCAAACGAUGCGGGCUAGGUGUUGGGUCCCUAAAGAUGGCUCAGUGCCGCAGUUAACGCGUUAAGCCCGCCGCCUGGGGACUACGGCCGCAAGGCUAAAACUCAAGGGAAUUGACGGGCCCCCGCACAAGCGGUGGAGCACGUGGUUCAAUUCGAUGAUAAACGAAGAACCUCACCUGGACUUGACAUGCAUGUGGUACCGAACCGAAAGGGGAGGGAUCUGCUAGCUUCGGCUAGCGGAGCAUGCACAGGUGGUGCAUGGCUGUCGUCAGUUCGUGUCGUAGGACGUCGGGUUAAGUCCCUCAACGAGCGCAACCCCUACUACCAGUUGCCAGCGGUUCGGCCGGGGACUCUGGUAGGACUGCCGGCGAAUAACCGGAGGAAGGAGGGGAUGACGUCAAGUCAGUAUGCCCCUUAUGUCCAGGGCGACACACGUGCUACAAUGGUCGGUACAAAGGGCAGCGAACCCGCAAGGGGGAGCGAGUCUCAGAAAGCCGGCCUCAGUUCGGAUUGGGGUCUGCAACUCGACCUCAUGAAGCUGGAAUCGCUAGUAAUCGCAGGUCAGCCAUACUGCGGUGAAUACGUACUCGGGGGUUGUACACACCGCCCGUCACACCAACCGAGUGAGGAGCACCCGAAGUCCUCUCAGCCAAUAUGAGGGCCGAAGGUGAGCUUCGCGAGGGGGGUGAAGUCGUAACAAGGUAACC
RNAcentral lists this ribosomal RNA (1002 nucleotides) under uncultured KB1 group bacterium. RNAcentral describes it as "bacterial SSU rRNA". It matches the Rfam family "Bacterial small subunit ribosomal RNA", at positions 505 to 1501 of the family's 1533-position model. Lineage: Bacteria; Candidatus Calescibacteriota. The record is from RNAcentral.